This 71-nucleotide transfer RNA is filed under the name Stegodyphus mimosarum. It matches the Rfam family "tRNA". From Rfam's summary of the family: Transfer RNA (tRNA) molecules are approximately 80 nucleotides in length. Their secondary structure includes four short double-helical elements and three loops (D, anti-codon, and T loops). Lineage: Eukaryota; Metazoa; Arthropoda; Arachnida; Araneae; Eresidae. The record is from Rfam by way of RNAcentral.
GCUUUCUUGGUGUAAUGGUAGCACACUCGGCACGUAUUCGAGAGUUCCAGGUUCGAGUCCCGUUGAAGGCA